UGAACCUGAAAAUUGAGACUAAAACCUCACGAAAAAAAUCCAUUAGCAAAAAACCUUUCCUCUCCCUUGUAAAAAGUUCCUCAAUUCAAUGUAGUUUGGGGUGAGGUCCGGCCAUUUGGCCGUCGACCUUCCCUUUGCCUCCAUUUCGUUAGAUCAUUGUUUUGUAAGUUUUUUAUCUAGUUUUCGUUGUCCUAGUUUCCUUUAGUCUCCCUUUGGAGUCUCAGUGUCUCUCUAAUAGAUGGAAUUUUUGUGUGUUUGUUUUGAGAUGCAUGCUGUAGUCGGCUCUCUUGAUAUGAGUGGUGAAACUUUUUGGAGUAAGAUUGGCAGGCAGCUUAAACGGUGUAUACCGUUUUUAGUCAUUGUUGCCUAGCCCGUUCCCGGUUCUUCCGGCAAUAGCCAAGUUCUUGACUUUCUGUCCUUGAUGCAUCUACCCCGCUUUCUUCAUCUGGGCUUUAAGUGUGAGUAGGAAAGUGUGUUUCUUUCUGCAUGUUAGUUUCUCCAAUUUGCCUGGCUGCUUUCUCCUUUGAUGGCAACUGAUGUAUUGCUGGUGGAAGAGGCUAUGGUGGCUGUAGUUGAAUAUGGCAGAAGGUCCCUAAUGAAAAAGGGCUAUGGGUCAACCCGAUUCGUCUAGGGCUCCAAGUUUCCUUUGAUUUUGGGUCUUUUUCUGAGUUUGGGUUGAUUUGAUGUAAUUUUUAUUUUAUGGACUUGGCCUGGUAAUCCUUAUUUCAGUAAUGAAUUAUAUUUUUC
This 747-nucleotide unclassified non-coding RNA is filed under the name Hevea brasiliensis (rubber tree). The record is from RNAcentral. Lineage: Eukaryota; Viridiplantae; Streptophyta; Magnoliopsida; Malpighiales; Euphorbiaceae.